RNAcentral lists this ribosomal RNA (306 nucleotides) under uncultured bacterium. RNAcentral's name for it is "bacterial SSU rRNA". It matches the Rfam family "Bacterial small subunit ribosomal RNA", at positions 332 to 655 of the family's 1533-position model. The record is from RNAcentral.
CAGACUCCUACGGGAGGCAGCAGUGGGGAAUAUUGGACAAUGGGCGAAAGCCUGAUCCAGCAAUGCCGCGUGAGUGAUGAAGGCCUUAGGGUUGUAAAGCUCUUUUACCCGGGAUGAUAAUGACAGUACCGGGAGAAUAAGCCCCGGCUAACUCCGUGCCAGCAGCCGCGGUAAUACGGAGGGGGCUAGCGUUGUUCGGAAUUACUGGGCGUAAAGCGCACGUAGGCGGCUUUGUAAGUUAGAGGUGAAAGCCCGGAGCUCAACUCCGGAACUGCCUUUAAGACUGCAUCGCUUGAAUCCGGGAGA